GAUGAAGAACGUAGCGAAAUGCGAUACUUGGUGUGAAUUGCAGAAUCCCGUGAACCAUCGAGUCUUUGAACGCAAGUUGCGCCCGAAGCCAUCAGGUUGAGGGCACGUCUGCCUGGGCGUCACAUAUCGUUGCCCAAUGCCUAUUGCAGUGCAAUAGGAAUUUAUAGGGCGAAUGAUGGCUUCCCGUGAGCGUUGUUGCCUCGCGGUUGGUUGAAAAUCGAGUCCUUGGUAGGGUGUGCCAUGGUAGAUGGUGGUCGAGUUAGAACGAUACCGAUCAUGUGCAUGCUCCCCAAAAUAUGGCCUCUAUGACCCACACGCGUCUUUUGACGCUCAUGACGAGACCUCAGGUCAGGCGGGGCUACCCGCUGAAUUUAAGCAUAUCAAUAAGCGGAGGA
This 395-nucleotide unclassified non-coding RNA is filed under the name soil metagenome. RNAcentral's name for it is "partial contains 5.8S ribosomal RNA, internal transcribed spacer 2, and large subunit ribosomal RNA". The stretch from base 1 to 122 matches the Rfam family "5.8S ribosomal RNA", at positions 35 to 154 of the family's 154-position model. The record is from RNAcentral.